GCUCAGGAUGAACGCUGGCGGCGUGCUUAACACAUGCAAGUCGAACGGUGAACACGGAGCUUGCUCUGUGGGAUCAGUGGCGAACGGGUGAGUAACACGUGAGCAACCUGCCCCUGACUCUGGGAUAAGCGCUGGAAACGGCGUCUAAUACUGGAUAUGUGACGUGACCGCAUGGUCUGCGUUUGGAAAGAUUUUUCGGUUGGGGAGGGGCUCGCGGCCUAUCAGCUUGUUGGUGAGGUAAUGGCUCACCAAGGCGUCGACGGGUAGCCGGCCUGAGAGGGUGACCGGCCACACUGGGACUGAGACACGGCCCAGACUCCUACGGGAGGCAGCAGUGGGGAAUAUUGCACAAUGGGCGAAAGCCUGAUGCAGCAACGCCGCGUGAGGGAUGACGGCCUUCGGGUUGUAAACCUCUUUUAGCAGGGAAGAAGCGAAAGUGACGGUACCUGCAGAAAAAGCGCCGGCUAACUACGUGCCAGCAGCCGCGGUAAUACGUAGGGCGCAAGCGUUAUCCGGAAUUAUUGGGCGUAAAGAGCUCGUAGGCGGUUUGUCGCGUCUGCUGUGAAAUCCCGAGGCUCAACCUCGGGCCUGCAGUGGGUACGGGCAGACUAGAGUGCGGUAGGGGAGAUUGGAAUUCCUGGUGUAGCGGUGGAAUGCGCAGAUAUCAGGAGGAACACCGAUGGCGAAGGCAGAUCUCUGGGCCGUAACUGACGCUGAGGAGCGAAAGGGUGGGGAGCAAACAGGCUUAGAUACCCUGGUAGUCCACCCCGUAAACGUUGGGAACUAGUUGUGGGGUCCAUUCCACGGAUUCCGUGACGCAGCUAACGCAUUAAGUUCCCCGCCUGGGGAGUACGGCCGCAAGGCUAAAACUCAAAGGAAUUGACGGGGACCCGCACAAGCGGCGGAGCAUGCGGAUUAAUUCGAUGCAACGCGAAGAACCUUACCAAGGCUUGACAUAUACGAGAACGGGCCAGAAAUGGUCAACUC
Molecule: ribosomal RNA, 987 nt
Filed under: Microbacterium paraoxydans
Lineage: Bacteria; Bacillati; Actinomycetota; Actinomycetes; Micrococcales; Microbacteriaceae
Description: bacterial SSU rRNA
Rfam family: Bacterial small subunit ribosomal RNA
Source: RNAcentral